GGGCUGCACCUGCAGCAUAUGGAAGUUCCCUGGGCUAGGGGCUGAAUCACAGUUGCAGCUGCUGGCCUAUGCCACAGACACAGCAGAGCCAGAUCUGAGCAGCAUCUGAGACCUAUGCCUCAACACAGGAUCCUUAAUCCACUGAGUGAGGGACCAGGGAUUGAACGCAAAUCCUCACAGUCACUAUGUCAGAUUCUUAACCCACUGAGCUGUGAUGGGAACUCUGAGGUUGUUUUCUUUACCUAAAUGAAUCAUCCUGUGCACACCUUGGGCAGAAGGCUCACUUUUAGAGACCACAAUGCUGGGUGCUGUCCCAGGAAGCCAGUGGAAACAGUAGGGAACAAUUUUGGUGACUGUAUUUGUAGUCUAUUGUCACUGUAACUGAUAAAAGCACUGUAGACGCAAAUUUAGCAGCUAAAACAACACAUUUAUUUUCUCUUGAGCUCCAGGAGUCAGGAGGCCGGGCACAGUAAGGCUCAGUUAUUUCACUCUAAGUGUCUCAAAAGGCUGAAAUCAAGGUGUCCACAGGGUUGUGUUCCUACUUCCUUGCCAGCUGUUGGCCAGGGGUUGGUCUCAGCUUCUAGAUGCUGCUCAUCUUCCCAGGCUUGGGGCCUUUCAUCUUCAAAGCCAGUAAUGGUGGGGUGACACUUUCCCGCUUUGAAUUUCUCUGAUUUCCCUUCUGCCUCAUCUCUGUACAGUCAGACCACUUCUCUAAGACUCGAUGUCUUCAAUAGAAAAAUAGGAACAAUAACACCUACCUCCAAUGACUGGUUGGAGGAUUAAAUGGAUUAAUAGCUAUAAUUGGUAGGGGAGUUCCCGUGGUGGCGCAGUGGUUAACGAAUCCAGCUAGGAACCAUGAGGUUGCGGGUUCGAUCCCUGCCCUUGCGCAGUGGGUUAAGGAUCUGGUGUUGCCGUGAGCUGUGGUGUAGGUUGCAGAUGUGGCUUGGAUCUGGAGUUGCUGUGGCUGUGGUGUAGGCUGGCAGCUGUAGCUCUGAUUGGACCCAUAGCCUGGGAACCUCCAUAUGCUGCUGGUGCAGCCCUAAAAAGAAAAAAAAAAAAACUAUAAAUUAUAAUUAUAAAAUGGGAACAAUAAUAAUAAUAGCAACUACCUUAGGAUUUUGAGAAUUAAAGAAUGCAUGUUGGACACUCAGCAUGAUGCCAGCCUAUAAAUACUGUCUAUUAUUUUAUUGUUGAGCUCAAAAGAAUGAGACUAUGAUCAAUGGGUCAUAAAGCCAAAAAUAUGACAGCCAAUAAUUGUUGCUAGGUCACAGACCUUUUAAGACAAUAAAAAGACUCACAUAUCCCUCAAAAAAUAAUAUACAAGAAGAUUAAAAAUAUCUUAUAAGUCAUUGUAAAUAAUGGGUAUUUUACCUAGUAAUCACUCUAACCCAAUGUUGUCAUUUGUAGGUGGCAGGACUUGGAGCAGUAAUUUAACUAAAAGCAAUGGGUUAUAUGAAUGUGCAGUUCAGCAACUGGCAGUUCUGGAAGAUGCUUCCGGCAGGUGCACUUUCAUCCUGAGAAGAUUUAGUCAGGGCUUAGUUGCCUAGAUUGUUGACACCUGGUGGUUUUUAUAGCACAUGCUCAACUAAGAGUAAUGGCAAAGGAAAGGACCGGGUGUAGACAGAUGCAUUACACUCUGGGCGUGAGUAAACUCUGCAUUAUCCAGCUGCACUUCACACAUUCAAGUAUUAUACACGCUGCAGCAACUGUGCCCCAGUCCUGGCAGAAUUUCAAGAUGCUCUGAACUAGAAUGCCCCCCAAGAGACCUUUUGAGGAACCAAAAGAAAGUAAAAAGAGAGAUUUAAAAUAUCAAAUGCCUUACUGCCUGAUGUGUUACUGUUUAACGGAUGUAAUUUAAAAUGAAAAUCAAAGAACUUUUCCUUUCAAUGUGACAGGCUCUAGGGAAACUCUUCAAAUAGAAAAUAUGAAGCAAAUCCAAGUAAAGAUUCUAGGAGGGAAAAAAAAGAAAGAAAGAAAGAAAACACUGAAGGGAAAGUCGGUGAAAGAAGAAAAACUAUUAAAGAACAGCAAUGGCUGGAAAUUUGGAGGACACUGUUUGACAAAAUUUAAUUUCUUCAUACAACAAAUAUUAACUAAGCACCUACUAUGUGGCAAGCACUAUGCUAGGAGCCCUUAAAGAGCUAACCUCUGGGGAGGAACCAGUAAACAGAGAGGACCAUCUCAUAACAGGGGUAAGUAAAAACAGAACAACAAGGAAAGGAUAGAGGAGGGGCACCCAGCUCUGCGGCAUCAGGGAAGAAGGAAGAUUAACCCAAGGGCACAGACGAUGGUGAACAGGAAAGGGAGAUAGAACUGCCCAGACGUGCAGCUGGGACCCAGGGCAAGUCCCUCCUCUCUGUACCCCAGGUCUCCCAGACACAAAAGAAGGUUCAUGUGAUCAGCCCAGGAAUCAGAGGAAGACUGUAAGCUGAAGGUCAUCUUUAAUUCCUCUCAUUUUUUCAUAUCCUACUUUCAAUCUGUUGAAAACGCCGAUCAGUGCAAUGUUCAAAGUAUAUAUUCAGAAUCUGGCCUCCUCUCACUCCCCCUUCCCGUGGUCUGAGUCAACAUCACCAAUCAUCUGGAUUAUAUGCUAUGGCCUCUAACCAGUCUGCUUCUACACUCCAUUCGCACGAGCUCCUGGAAGGAGCUGCUUCUCCCAGAGAAUGCCAGUCUUCUGUCCAGAAUGCUGCAAUGCUUCCCAGUUGCAUUCAGGCUCACAGAUGCUGCAUGGUCUUUGCCCUGCCCCACCUUCACUCCUGUUCUGCCCGCAACUCCUCUCCAGCCACGCUGGCCUAUUUUCCAUUCUUCCAACACUCCUUCUUUUUUUUUGGCUGUGCCCACAGCAUGCAGAAUUUCCCAGGCAAGGGAUGGAAACCACGCUACAGCAGUAGCCGGAACUGCAGAGUGAUAACACUCAAUCCUUAGCCUGAUGGACCAUUUGGAAACUCCAACACUCUUGACAGGAUCUACCCUCUACUCCAGUGGUUCUCUCUGCCAGAAAGGCUCUUGCCCUGAUUUUACUCUGCUGAUGUUCUCCCUCAAAGCUUUUCCCAAAUUUUGUAACUGAGCAGGACACUGCAAGGCCUUCCCAGGACAGACUCCUUCCUUAUAUCCUUGCUUUUAGCUCCUCCUUGAAGUAGCUAGAUAAUAGUACCUGAGCCACAUUUCCUGAUCUGUUUUACAGAUUCAAAAACCCCCACCACAUGAAAGACAUCAACCACUUAAUGAUCUUGAGCACAAAGCCUCCAGGCCUCCUGGUAUCUAAGGACUGGUAAACUUAAUUCCUGUUAUCUUACCUCCAACCAAUCAGAACUGUGGACGAGCUGAUCACAUACCCUGGGACACCCCCUCCCUACCUUGCCUUUAAAAAUGCUAUGCUGAAACCCAUCAAGGAGUUUGAGUGUUUGAGCUGUAGCUUCCCUAAACUCCUUGCUUGGUGCCCUGCAAUAAAUGUUGCACUUUCCUUCACCACAACCGGCAUUGAUUGGCUUUACUGCAUCCAGGCGCACAAACCCAAGUUUGGUUCCGUCACAAUUUCACCUUUUCUGUGAGGUCUACUCUGACCACCUCGGAAACCCUAUACUCCAGAUCCUCCCGAUUAUCUGAUAAUUUACUCCUUUGUUUUGUGUACUGUUUACCGUCUCCCUUCUCCCCUCUAGAAUUAAUGUUCCAAGAGGGCAAGUACCAUGACUUUGUUAAUCACUAGCCACUGCCAACAGUACAUGGUACACAAUAGGCACCUAAUACAUAGUUGCUGAAUGAGUAGAUACAUUAACUGAGAGAGAGAUACAAAAGCAAGCAAAUCGCAGGAUCUGUUGGUAAGACCCCUGGUCACCCCCUCCUCAGCAUCUCACUGUGCAGCUUAAUAGAAGAUAAGAGAGAAGGCUGGGCUUUCACAGAGCCAGAGAGCAUCACAGGAUGGAAAAUAUUCACACAGGGUGUCUGAAAGAGGAUUCUAGUUUGAUUUUGUCACUAUCAUGUGACCUGGACCUCAACUGUCUUGUUUAUAAAGAAAAGGUUAAGGUAGACCAUGGAAAGGAAAACCUCUACCCUCAGGCCAAACCCAGUCACCUCCUGCUUCUAUAAAUCAAAUUUUACUAAAAUACAGCCAUGCCCAUUCAUUCAUGUAUUGUCUUUGGUUGCUUAAUACCAUGGCAGAACUGAGCAGUCAUGACAGAUAGAGUCUGCAGAGACUAAAACAUUUAUAUAUCCCACCCUUCACAGAAAAAGUUUGCCAACCCUGGGGCUGGACCACCAGAAUGUAAGAGCCAGAAAAGCAGACUGUUCCAUGCACUGCCCUUCCUCCAGCAUUUAGACCAGUGGCCGGUAUUCAGUACAUAUUUCAAGAACUCAAGAGGUUUUCAGGCUGCCUCCCUGAGGCUUGAGUAGGUUAAACACAAUAGCAGUAGUUGAUAGAAGGUACCACUUGCAAGGCAGAGACAGCCUAAGCAGUUAACUUACAUCAACUUCUUUCUUUAAACCUGACACCAGUCCCAUUAGACAAGUUUAUUCUUAUCAUCCAGCAUUGUAUUAGAUGGAGAAACUGAGGCAAGAGGAGAUUAAGUACCUUGCCCUUCUAAGUAAGUGGGACAACUUGGGACCUGAACCCAACCUGUCACAGUUCGUACCUUUCUCUAAAAAAUUUUAUGGCCUCACCUGGGCAUAUGGAAGUUUCUGGGUUAAGAACUGAAUCCAAGCCACAGCUGCGGCCUAGGUCACAGCUGCAUCAUCACCAGAUCCUUUAACCCACUGCACUGGGCCAGCAACCCAACCUGCAACUCUGCAGCAACCCAAGCCUCUGCAGUUGGAUUUUAACUCACCGUGCCACAGUGGGAAUUCCCAGAGUGCAUAUUUUUUUUUUUUUUUUGCUUUUUUUUUUUUUGCUUUUUGCUUUUUAGGGUCACACUUCCCUGACUAGGAGUCAAAUUGGAGCUAUAGCUGCCGGCCUACACCCCAGCCAGAGCAAUAUGGGAUCCUUAACCCACUGAGCAAGGCCAAGGAGAAAACCCACAUCCUCAUGGAUACUAGUUGGCUUGUUUCCGCUGAGCCACAACAGGAACUCCUC
This 5065-nucleotide long non-coding RNA is filed under the name Sus scrofa (pig). RNAcentral describes it as "lncRNA (ENSSSCG00050027632.1)". The record is from RNAcentral. Lineage: Eukaryota; Metazoa; Chordata; Mammalia; Artiodactyla; Suidae.